This 253-nucleotide ribosomal RNA is filed under the name uncultured bacterium. RNAcentral's name for it is "partial 16S ribosomal RNA". It matches the Rfam family "Bacterial small subunit ribosomal RNA", at positions 524 to 776 of the family's 1533-position model. The record is from RNAcentral.
UACGUAGGGACCGAGCGUUGUCCGGAAUCAUUGGGCGUAAAGAGCGUGUAGGCGGCUUUACAGGUCCGUUGUGAAAACUCGAGGCUCAACCUCGAGACGCCGGUGGAAACCGUAAGGCUAGAGUCCGGAAGAGGAGAGUGGAAUUCCCGGUGUAGCGGUGAAAUGCGCAGAUAUCGGGAGGAACACCAAUGGCGAAGGCAGCUCGCUGGGACGGUACUGACGCUGAGACGCGAAAGCGUGGGGAGCAAACAGG